GUGUGACUUGCCCAGGAAGCUGGCACUUAAAUCCUGCCGUGCCACACUGGCUUUUGUGAGAAAGAAACUCAGUGGUUUAAAUUACAAUAAUCAACCCCAAACCUGGGGUUUGUUUCCUCUGUUACUCUGUGUGGUCACCCUGAGUACAAAGGAGGGGAUUAUAGGUGCUCAGGAUGGCACAAGCUGCCAAACAGCUCAAAAAGAUCAAGGAUGUUGAAGCCCAAGCUCAUGCUGAGCAGAAAGAGAAGGAGGAAUCAGACCGCAAGAGAAGGAGCCGAUCUCGUGACCGUAAGAAAAAGGCUGAUGCAGUCACCAGCUUCCUGCGAGCGGCCAGAGCUGGGAACUUGGACAAAGCACUGGAACACCUGAGGAAUGGAGUGGAUAUAAAUACAUGUAACCAGAAUGGGCUGAAUGCUUUGCAUCUCUCCAGUAAGGAAGGACACCUGAAAAUGGUGAGCGAGCUGCUGCACAAGGAGAUUAUCCUGGAGACCACUACAAAGAAGGGCAACACGGCCUUGCACAUCGCUGCCUUGGCUGGACAAGAGGACGUGGUACGGGAGCUUGUUAAUUAUGGGGCCAACGUCAACAGUCAGUCACAGAAAGGUUUCACACCUCUGUACAUGGCAGCUCAAGAGAACCAUCUCCCUGUGGUCAAAUUCCUCCUGGAGAAUGGAGCCAAUCAGAACCUAGCUACAGAGGAUGGCUUCACCCCACUGGCCGUAGCGCUGCAGCAGGGCCAUGAGAAUGUCGUAGCUCACCUCAUCAGCUAUGGGAUGAAAGGAAAAGUCCGGCUCCCUGCUCUCCAUAUUGCGGCGCGAAAUGAUGACACGCGCACGGCAGCUGUACUCCUGCAGAAUGACCCCAAUGCCGACGUAUUGUCAAAGACAGGAUUCACACCCCUGCACAUCGCUGCCCAUUACGAGAACCUUAACGUCGCGCAGCUCCUUCUGAACAGGGGUGCAAAUGUGAAUUUCACUCCUCAGAAUGGUAUUAGCGCUCUGCACAUCGCCUCGCGGCGCGGGAAUGUGAUCAUGGUGCGGCUGCUGUUGGAUCGGGGAGCUCAGAUAGAUGCACUUACCAAGGACGAACUGACCCCACUACACUGUGCUGUGAGAAAUGGACAUGUCCGGAUCUCAGAGAUUCUGCUGGAUCAUGGUGCCCCAAUACAAGCCAAGACAAAGAAUGGCCUGUCUCCCAUCCAUAUGGCCUCACAAGGAGAUCACCUGGACUGCGUACGGCUGCUGCUCCAGUACCAGGCUCUGAUUGAUGACAUAACGCUGGAUCAUCUGACACCUCUGCAUGUGGCUGCUCAUUGUGGCCAUCAUCGUGUAGCAAAAAUUCUCCUAGAUAAAGGAGCCAAACCCAAUGCCAGAGCCCUGAAUGGGUUCACUCCACUGCACAUUGCCUGCAAGAAGAGUCAUAUGAGAGUCAUGGAGCUUCUGCUGAAGUCCGGAGCCUCCAUUGAUGCUGUGACAGAAUCUGGCCUCACCCCUCUCCACGUUGCUGCAUUCAUGGGACAUCUGUCUAUUGUGAGAAUGUUACUUCAGAAAGGGGCAUCACCCAAUGUCUUCAGUGUGAAAGUGGAAACCCCAUUGCACAUGGCUGCGCGUGCAGCACACGCAGAUGUGGCAGAGUUUUUACUGCAAAACAAAGCGAAGGUGAAUGCUAGAGCCAAGGAUGACCAGACCCCUCUCCACUGUGCAGCCCGCUCUGGGCAUUUUGAAAUGGUACGCUUGCUGUUAUCCCAUGGCGCUCACCCAGAUUCCCCCACUACUGCAGGCCAUACACCCCUGCACCUGAGUGCACGUGGGGGUCACACCCAAACCACAGAUCUCCUGCUGGACAACCAAGCAGCACAUACCUCCAUGACCAAGAAAGGUUUUACUCCCCUCCAUGUGGCUGCAAAAUAUGGGAAGAUCCAGAUUGCAGAAAUUCUGCUGGAAAGAGGAGCUCACUCCAACAGUGCUGGCAAGACUGGCUUGUCCCCUCUUCAUGUAGCUGUGUAUCAUAACCACCUCAACAUUGUGCGUCUUCUGUUGAAUAAGGGGGCAUCUCCACACUGCACUGCUCGGAAUGGAUACACUCCCUUGCACAUGGCUGUAAAGCAACGCUCAGUAGACACAGCCCGCGCAUUGCUGCAGUUUGGUGCAACUUGUAAUGCUCAGUCCCUACAAGGAAUCACUCCCCUCCACUUAGCUGCACAAGAGGGUCAUGUGGACAUGGUGACUUUGCUACUGAGCAAGCAAGGAAAUGUGCACCUGGGGAACAAGAGCUCCCUCACACCCCUCCACCUGGCGUGUCAGGAGGGUCACCUUAACAUAGCAGAAAUUCUGGUGUCCCAUGAUGCAACAGUGAACGUGGAAACACGGAUGGGGUUCAGCCCUCUGCACGUCGCCUGUCACUAUGGGAACAUCAAGCUGGUGAAGUUUCUCUUGCAGAAUCAGGCUAACGUAAAUGCUACCACCAAGUUGGGGUUCACUCCUCUCCACCAGGCUGCACAGCAGGGACACACGGACAUUGUCACCCUUCUGCUGAAGAACGGAGCUUGCCCCAACCAGGCCAGCAUGAAUGGGAUCACGCCAUUGGCCAUUGCAAAGCGACUAGGAUACAUCUCAGUGACAGAUGUUCUCAGUCUGGUGACAGAUGGACCCCAGGCCCAGCCAGCCAACGAAAGGCACAGGAUGAGCUUCCCAGAAACUGUUGACGAGAUGCUGGAUGUGUCAGAGGAUGAAGGAACCCCCCACCUGCCUCUACAUGGGGAGGAGCCACCAGAUUUCAGGCCUCCUCCUUCAGGGCCUAGGGAGCCAGAUGACGAUACGGACAUGGAGUUCUUACCCAAACUGGACCAUGUAGUUGGAUCACCUGCGAUACCCAGAAUUCCCUGUGUCACCCCAGAAGCAGUCAUACUAAAAAAAGAGGACGACGAACCGUUGUCUAGAGAGUUAGAUGACGAGUCCUUGAUCCCCAGCAGUCCAGCUACUGAAACGUCAGACAACAUCAGUCCUGUGGCAAGUCCUGUCCACACUGGGUUUUUGGUCAGUUUUAUGGUAGAUGCCCGGGGUGGAUCUAUGCGUGGAAGCCGUCACAAUGGUCUGCGGGUUAUCAUCCCACCCAGGACAUGUGCUGCGCCCACACGCAUUACGUGCCGCCUUGUGAAACCACAAAAGCUCAACUGCCCACCUCCGCUGGGUGAGGAAGAGGGACUGACGAGCAGGAUCAUUGCCCUGGGACCUACUGGAGCACAGUUUCUGAGCCCGGUGGUGGUAGAGAUCCCCCACUUUUCGUCAGCUGGUCGUGGUGAUCGGGAGUUGGUCAUUCUCCGUAGUGAUAACGGGUCAGUGUGGAAGGAACAUCAGAACCGGUAUGGGAGGGAAUACUUGGAGGAGGCCCUGAGCGGGAUGGAUGAAGAGCUGGAGAGUGAAGAAGAGUUACAUAAGAAACGCCUUUGCCGUAUUGUCACCACGGAUUUCCCCUUGUACUUUGUGGUGAUGUCACGGGUAUGUCAGGACUGUGAACUUAUUGGUCCAGAUGGAGGAGCUCUGAAAAGCCGACUAGUACCCCAAGUUCAAGCCACCUUCCCCCCAACUGCUGUAACCAAGAAAGUGAAGCUGUCUCUACAAGCUCAGUCAGUGCCAGAUGAAUUGGUGUCCCGGUUGCUUGGUAACCAAGCAACAUUUGGGCCUAUUGUCACUGUGGAGCCACGGCGUAGGAAAUUUCAUCGUCCAAUAGGGCUACGCAUACCCCUUCCGCCAUCUUGGAAAGAUAAUCCUCGGGACAGUGGAGAGGGAGAUACCACCAGCUUGAGGCUACUCUGUAGCGUAACAGGUGGGACAGCCCCUGCUCAGUGGGAAGACAUUACUGGAACUACAAAAUUAGUGUAUGCCAAUGAAUGUGCCAACUUUACAACCAAUGUCUCUGCCAGGUUUUGGCUGUCAGACUGCCCCCGCACCGCUGAAGCAGUCUCCUUCUCCUCCCAGCUUUACCGGGAGCUCAGCGCUGUUCCAUACACCGCUCGCUUUGUGGUGUUUGCAAAGAUGUCAGAUGGGCGGGAAGGACGUCUGCGCUGCUACUGUAUGACUGGUGACAAACUGGAGAAGACGCUAGAACAGCAUGAGAACUUUACUGAGGUGGCUCGUAGCCGCGACAUCGAGGUGCUGGAUGGGACGCAGCUCUUUGUGGAGCUGUCAGGCAAUCUAAUUCCUCAGAGGAAAGCAACGCAGCAGAGAAGUUUCACUUUCCAGGCAUUUAAAGAGAACAGGCUGGCACUACCCAUUAAGGUGAGGGACAGCAGCCGGGAACCAUGUGGGUCUAUGUCCUUCCUCCGUAAAUCUAUGAAGUAUGAGCCGUCCCAGCAAGUGCUUUGCCAUUUGAAUGUGACAAUGCCACAAUACACCCAGGGCCCAGGCAGCCUGGACAGGAGGAGGACGCUGACCCCACUUGCUCUAAGAGAGCGGUACAGCCUUCUGAAUGACAGCACAAGGGGCUCUCUCAGUGGCACAGACCGUAUUGAAAUGAAGAUGGCUGUUAUAUCAGAGCACCUGGGUCUGAGCUGGGCCGAGUUGGCCCGUGAGCUACAGUUUGAGAUGGAUGACAUCAACAGGAUUCGAGUGGAGAACCCAAACUCGUUGCUGGAGCAGAGCAUAGCUUUAUUAGAACUCUGGGUAUCGCGGCAGGGUUCCAACGCAAAGCUGGAAGAUCUAUACACAGCUCUGCGCAACAUCGACCGCAAUGAGAUUGUGACUAUGUUGGAGGGAUCUGGGCGGCAGAGUAGAUGCCUGAAGGGUGAGCGCCGUUACACAAACAGUGACGGAUCCAUUUCCCCCUCUCAGAGGAAUGGUACGAUCCCAUGGGGAUCCUCACCAGGUCACCCCUUGACGCAGGAUGAGCUGCUUUCCCCGGCCUCUCUCAACUACUCCCUACCCUCCCCGUUGCGACUGGACCAGUAUUGGAGCGAAGCGUCCAUUUUGGAUGGAGUUCCCAUGGCAACAGCUGAGCCUGACGGUCUGCUUGACCUGCCUGACCUUCCUCUCUGGGCCUCUGGCCUGUCCCCAUCCCUCGUUGCUCCUGAAGACUCAUCCCUGGAUUGCAGCAAAGCCGAGGAUGAGUGGGAUGCCCAGCCACGUCCAUCUUCGGGCUCCCCUGAUCUGGAUGAGGAGGAGUCUGAAGCUGGAGGACCAGAACGGGUCCAGGCCAGGAUUACUGAGACCCCCACCACGUGCAGAGUGACAGGGGGUAGUGUAGAGAGGGUACUAGAUUGGAGUGCCGAUGCUCCUGCACCAUCUACUCCUCGUCGAUCUCCUCAACAUAAUAAUGGUGCCCCGCUGGCAUAUGAAGAUCUGCACCCGACAUUUAAGGGCAGUGCAAGGAUACGAGUGACACAGCAGAGCACUGUGUACAGCACAAGUCUGCUGGGAGAGGGGAAUGAAGUGCCAGAUAUUCCUGGGGAGCAGGUGACGGAAGAGGAAUUCACAGAUGAGCAGGGGAACAUUGUGACAAAGAAGACAGUACGGAAGGUCCUGCGCAGGGUGGGAGCCCCAGACUCCACAGACCUUGGGGACAAUGAGGACUUAAUAAUUGAGGGAACAUUGCAAGAGCCAGAAGAGCUUGAGAGUGAGACUCCUAAUUACCUGAAGUACGCAGUGCUGCAUCGAGAGGCAGAGGACGAGUUUGACUCUCUCAGGUCAGAGGUCGGAGACGGGAGGAAAGGGGCACAGAUUGUGAAACGAGCCGGCACUAAACGGGUGCAACAGUGAGACCACAAAACUGGGACACCCAAAAUACUGGGAAACGCCCAGGUAAUACAAAUCACAGGGAAACCCCAGAACUACACCUCAAGUACAAGCUACUGAAAACGCCCUGACUGCCAUUUACUGCACCCACAGAAUACCAAUCAGUACAGACAUGAAUUUCUUCUCGCUCAUCUAUAAGCAGAGUCUUCCCUUCCUGGAAAAAUAAAAAACUGAGGAGUCCCUCCCCCUCCAAAGUCCGAAGCAGACGUUCGCCCCCUGUAUGCUCAUGGCAUGAAGAUUUGCACCCUGCAUGUUACAGAGUAAUAUGCAUGAGAUGACAUUGGGGAAGAGGACAGAGCUGCCCCCCUCCCUACUUCCCACCAUGCAGAUCCCAUUUCCAUUUGCCCUCUGUCUUCUUAAACUCCACUGGGGGGAGGGGCAUUUAUGGAAUCAGAUUGGAAAGUGGGCGACACUUAACCUUUUCCUUCUUCACCUAUCCCAGCUGCAAACUGCUUGUGUCUCAGAUACUACAUGUUUAUCAGUACUGAGUAUGUCUAUACACUCUUCAGCAGCUUAAAGGGAGCCCCUCCCCAGUUUCUUCUCAAUACAUUGGCUGCCCAUCGACAAACAGCAAUAGGAGUCACCCUCAGCCUAAGGAUUGUCCUUCAGGCCAAAGGGCACAGCACAAUGUCGACCGGGCAGGCCAGGCAAAGGUUCUGCAUGUUGCAGUUAAUUUGUGUUCAAUUUCCUUCAAAGCGAAAGGGCUACAUGUUAGAGAUACUCAGUAUCGUUAUGCAGGGACGUGUCUUCACUUGAAGAGGGCUACAAAAGUGUAUGUAGAUACUCAGUACCAUUAUACAACGCGGCAUGUUCUUUUUUCAGGCGGCUAAGCAUUUAUAGAAGCACUCGACACCAUUAUACAGUACAGCAUGCUUAUUCUCAAGCUACUGGUAGUGCAUAAAGGUAGUCUGCAUUAUUGUACAGUGCAGUACGUUUAUAAUAGGGGGAUGGAAAUGUAUAGAUAUAACCAGAUUCAUUAUGCAGAGCAGCAUGCUAAUUAUCAGGGGCUAGGAGUGUAUAGAGAUACUCAAUAUAAUUAUAGAGUGGAGCAUGUUCAUUAUCAGGGGCUGAAAGUGCAUAAAGAUACUAUAUCUUUAUAUAGUGCAGAAUGUUUAUUAUUAGGGGUAGGGGGGGUAUGGGGAUGAAACUGCCCCCCUGACUCAGGAAUGUGGUUCCAGCUUUAGGGGGGGAGGGGAGAAUUCUAUAAUUAAGGAUUUAGCCUACCCCCUCCCCACUACAGUUAUCCCAAGUCCAGACCCUCCAGCCCUGCUCCGGAGAGAGAAAGCACUCACCUUCACAACCUCUCCAGCGCUCUUUUUAGAUGCAAUUUCUGAUAUGCAUAAGAAGCUGAUUGUACAAUAACUGCUCAUAUGGAAAUAAAUACUAUGCAAUAUAAUCUUA
Molecule: RNA transcript, 7190 nt
Organism: Pseudophryne corroboree (corroboree frog)
Lineage: Eukaryota; Metazoa; Chordata; Amphibia; Anura; Myobatrachidae
Gene: ANK1
Gene name: ankyrin 1
Exons: 45
Source: RefSeq, a predicted model, not a curated record